Molecule: ribosomal RNA, 162 nt
Filed under: Bacillus pumilus
Lineage: Bacteria; Bacillati; Bacillota; Bacilli; Caryophanales; Bacillaceae
Description: partial 16S ribosomal RNA
Rfam family: Bacterial small subunit ribosomal RNA
Source: RNAcentral
CCUACGGGAGGCAGCAGUAGGGAAUCUUCGGCAAUGGACGAAAGUCUGACGGAGCAACGCCGCGUGAGUGAGGAAGGUUUUCGGAUCGUAAAACUCUGUUGUUAGGGAAGAACAAGGGCGAGAGUAACUGCUCGCACCCGACGGUACCUACCAGAGCUGAUC